Molecule: non-coding RNA, 269 nt
Organism: Microcebus murinus (gray mouse lemur)
Lineage: Eukaryota; Metazoa; Chordata; Mammalia; Primates; Cheirogaleidae
Source: RefSeq, a predicted model, not a curated record
AUUUUACGUGGAUUUGAAGAAAGGUGCAGGAUUAACUAAACAAAAGUGCUUGUUGUUCUACGCUUCCUGAGCCAAAGGGGAGAAACAGGGUGGAAGGGACAGGACUGCUUCUCAGAAGCCGCCAUCCAGAAGGGACAGACGUCACUUCCAUUCACGGUCACUGUUUAGUGUCCAAUGACUUGUAAUUAAAAUAGCCCAGACAUACAGAGAGAAUAUGCCAGCCUUACCACUGAAGGGAUCAGCAGAAGCAGGAGAGAGAGAGCAUUGAA